Molecule: long non-coding RNA, 384 nt
Organism: Vigna unguiculata (cowpea)
Lineage: Eukaryota; Viridiplantae; Streptophyta; Magnoliopsida; Fabales; Fabaceae
Source: RefSeq, a predicted model, not a curated record
CACUAAUUAGCAUUCUCCUUAUCAUUAUAAAUAAUCUUUAGAGACGCAACUUUGUAAUUUGAAAAAUUAUUCUAAAAAUCCUUAAACACAGACACACACCAAUGGCAAAAGUUGUAUUGUUUCCUUGCUUGAUGGUUUUAUUUCUCGUGAUAUUUGCACCAGGGUUUGCGAAUGCUUGUAACUACCCGUGCCAUGACCCAAGUGCUUGUGCUAAAUUACGCUGUGAUCCCCCCGGUUGCGUAAAGCGAUGCCGCAACUCUUGCUGCAUUUGUCAAUGUCUUGAAAAUGAAAAAGCUCAAAUAAACAUGUAACAAUUCCAUGACAUUGUCGUGGAAUUUAUAAGUAAUAAGACAAGUUGAAGUAAUAACAUUGUUCAUUAUUCCC